RNAcentral lists this long non-coding RNA (1262 nucleotides) under Chinchilla lanigera (long-tailed chinchilla). Its description in RNAcentral is "lncRNA (ENSCLAG00000029037.1)". The record is from RNAcentral. Lineage: Eukaryota; Metazoa; Chordata; Mammalia; Rodentia; Chinchillidae.
CUCGUGUUUCUCUAGAGGCCCCGCCCCUCUCGCCCCAGGCCCCGCCCCUAGGCCGCCGCUCUCAGGCAGGGCCCGCCCCCCUCAGGCAGGGCCCGCCCCCGCCGACUGUCCUCCUAUAGUUCCCACCCCUCUGACAGUAGGCCCCGCCCCUCCACCUGCAUUUCCCCACAGGCCCCGCCCCUGACAGUAGGCCCCGCCCCCGCCCGCAGUUUCCCCGUAGUCCCCGCACGCGCCAGCCCGGUCCCCUACAGCAGCUGCGCCCGCGGAGCCUGGGCCGAGCAGACGGAGCCCCGGGCAGGGGGAUCCGCGCCUCCUCUCCCGAGCGGCCCGAUAACUUCACAGAUGCCGAGCUCGGCGUCCCCGAGUGACCCCCACAGAUCCCGAGCAGGAGUCGCCGAGUGACCCCCAUAGAUCCCGAGGCCCGGGGUCCACGCUGUCCCCGAGUCCUGGGCAGAUCAGGAGAGGGCCGAGUGGGGACGAAAACAGCCGAGGGUGGCAUUGACGAAGAGCGCCGAGCGCCCUCGGAAGGACCGAAGUGUUUACGGGGACGUCCGAGAGAUCACGGAAAGAGCCGAGAAUAACUAAAGGGUCGGCCCUCGAGGAAGAGAACCGAACGCUCUAGGGGAAACCGAAGUGUGUGCGGAGAGGGCUGAACGGUGACGGAAAAAGCCGAGCAUGGCUGAAGGGUCGGGCAUUGACGAAGAGCGCCGAGCGCCCUCGGGAUGACCGAGCGUGUGCGGAGAGGGCCGAGCGUAGCUGAACGCUGAAGCGGAGAGCCGAUGUGUACAGAGAGUGACUGGGGGUGGGGGGGCCGGAAAGAGCCGAGGGCAGGCGGACGAAAGCCGAGUGGCUUCGAAAGGCUCCGGUGUGUACGGAGAGGGCCGAGGGGCCACGGAAAGAGCCGAGGGUGAGGAGAGAGGCAAAGAGGGACGGAAGGAGCCGCUUCGGGCUGAAGGAGUAGCGGUCCCCGCAGCUGCGUCUCCAUGGCCGGACAGCUCAGCGCCCCGGGCAUCUUCGGGACGCCAUCCGGCCCUGGAGCCAACGCGGACUGGAUGUCGGGCCUGAGCCCGGGGCUGUGGGACAUCCCGCUGCACCAGCUGUCCAUCCCGGGCAGCCACGACACCAUGACCUACUGCCUGAGCAGGACGUCGCCCGUGUCCCAUGCGCAGCCCCGGCUGCUGCGCGUCCUCAGCUCGGCGCUGCCCUGCGUCACGCGGCCCGUGGUGCUGAAGUGGUCGGUCACCCAGGUACGCGCGGCCGGC